RNAcentral lists this long non-coding RNA (549 nucleotides) under Equus caballus (horse). RNAcentral's name for it is "lncRNA (ENSECAG00000051615.1)". The record is from RNAcentral. Lineage: Eukaryota; Metazoa; Chordata; Mammalia; Perissodactyla; Equidae.
AACACGAAGACAAGGAGACGCAGGCCAGCUGUGGUGUGGGUGUGGCUAGUGCCGGGGAACAGUCUCUGAGGUGCAGAAAGUUGGCUGUGACUCAGACAUCAUUCUGAGCUACCACUCCACACUCUGGACCCCACAGCAACCGCUGGUUGGUCCAUUGUGUUCAGGUAUUUCAACAGGAACCCUGGCAGCUCCUGAACGUCUAUGGAAAAGAGGGGAGAAGAGCACCUUCCGUUGAGAGUCCUGAUGGCCACUCGAGGCCCUGCCGAUAAUUAGUGGCAAGCUGGGACUGGCGCUCAGAUGAGGAAAGCAAGGACUAGAGGAGGCAGGAACCAAGGCCACACAGCAGUCAGUGGGUGGCCUUGAGACAACUCCAGAAGCUUGUCUUAAGCACCCAUUCCUGCAACCACUUGAUUAUGUCCCUCACCCCAAAACUAAGAGGACAUUCUCAUUGGAUUGUGAAGAUUUAGUGAGCCAAUGUUUAUUUUUAAAUGCCGGCCCAGAGGUGUUCAGCAAAUACUAAUUCCUUUCUUCUUUCUGUCUGGGUUCCAG